UACAGAGGUGGCAAGCGUUGUUCGGAAUUACUGGGCGUAAAGGGCGCGUAGGCGGCCAUCUAAGUCAGACGUGAAAUCCCCAGGCUCAACCUGGGAACUGCGUCCGAUACUGGAUGGCUUGAAUCCGGGAGAGGGAUGCAGAAUUCCAGGUGUAGCGGUGAAAUGCGUAGGUAUCUGGAGGAAUACCGGUGGCGAAGGCGGCAUCCUGGACCGGCAUUGACGCUGAGGAGCGAAAGCCAGGGGAGCAAACGGG
This 253-nucleotide ribosomal RNA is filed under the name uncultured bacterium. Its description in RNAcentral is "partial 16S ribosomal RNA". It matches the Rfam family "Bacterial small subunit ribosomal RNA", at positions 524 to 776 of the family's 1533-position model. The record is from RNAcentral.